UCUACCCUACAGCGUGACCCUGCGCCUCUCAGAGCCCCCACCCCACUGGGUGACCCUGGACCUUUCAUUGCUCCCCCACAAGGUGACCCUGGAACCAUCUGCAUCCCUCAGUGCCCCUUUCACAGGGUGACCCUGCACCCAUCACUUCCCUCCCCCACAAGAUGAUUGUGAACCCCCAGGUGCCUCCCUCACAAGGUGACUCCUGUAUCCCCACAAAGCCUAUGGAACAGCCCACCCAGGGAGCUGUUUGGGGGCUUGAGGAACCCAGCACAGGGCCCUUCUCCAAGCAUUUUUCUCCUGCUGUCUCUGACUGCUCCAUCUGUCCUGUGUGUUCAUAUCUGUCUCUUUGCCAUCCUCCCUUCCCUGAUUACCUCAAUUUCUCAUCUGUCCCCUCAUGCUACCUGCCAAGUCAUUCACCUCUAAGUCUGCCUGCCCCACUCAGUCAUUCCGUGCACUCCUUUGCUGCCCUGUGCCCCUCAGUCAUUGAGUUCCCCUGGUGCUUUGCUGUUGAUGGUUGCUUGUGUCAUCUCAUGCUACGGUCAUCAUCUCACCACCAGGCUUAGCACCGAGAUGAUCUUUUUGGGAUCAUUGACAACCUGUUGCUUUUGGGAAGGGACGGACUUUACUCCAGAAAGGACUCAAACGUAAAUGUUUGAACAUGAGCAACUUUGCAAAGGAGUUCUCCAGGUGAAGGAGGAGUGAUUACAUGACCCUUGGGGUUCCUUUACCUCGAUCAUUCCCUUGAUACUUGAGUGGAGCAGGACAUAGGGAAUGAAUACAAAGGACAGCAACAGCCUUUCAGAGUUGGAAGGGUUUGACAGGUCCUGACUGAUUUGGGGAUAAGUAGUGUCAGCAGCUUAUGCAGGGGAAGCAGAUGCAUGACCUCAGGGCCUGGCAGGGAGCCAGCUUACUACAGAAUGGGAGAUGAAACCUGGAAAAGAAAAAAAGCCAAACCACAACUUAGUCCCAAAUGCCCAAUCACUAGGAGGAAACAUUCACAGCAAGGCAGCAGGGUGAGGCGGAUCAGAGACACCACAGGAACCUGGCACUGGCUCUUCUUGUUACAGAGGCUGUGCAGAAAGAAAGCUUGCGUCCCUCAGAGCCGAAGGAAGGUCUUUGGAUUUUCUGUUGCUCCCAGAUUGGCUUGGAUAGAUUGAAAGAAGUAAAUGUGAACUCACCCAAUCUUUCCUGCUCUUUGUAGGCCCCAGAGCUAUUGCUUUUUGGGAGCAGAAGGAACGAAGUAGAAGCUACUGACAAUGUAAAUAGCAAACAAACUAACAUUUCCUCACAGUAGGUAAAUUCAAAAUUCUAACACACAGAAAAAUAGCACAGGUUGUGUCCAAGACCACACACUGUCCCCACUCUCAGGCCAAUGCCAUCUCCUCUAUAUCAUGCCUUUUCUAGUCUACACUGCGGCUCUUUGGAGCUGGGGCCAUCUCUUACUGGGCUGUAAAGCAGUACACACUCCUCUACUGUAUGGAGAAUAUUUGUCUUUCAAUUAGCAUCAGUAUUUAUUUGCCU
Mauremys reevesii (Reeves's turtle) is the source of this 1521-nucleotide long non-coding RNA. RefSeq lists it as uncharacterized. Lineage: Eukaryota; Metazoa; Chordata; Testudines; Geoemydidae. The record is from RefSeq and is a predicted model, not a curated record. The transcript has 6 exons.